AUAGUCUGACAGAAUACUCCCUUUGAUGGCUUUCUGGGACGUAUACUAGAUGUCGUACUCUGUCAGUACCAUUUUCCAACGAGCAACCCUUCCGGUGAGAGCUGGCUUCUCGAAUACAUACUUGACUGGAUCCAUUUUGGAGACCAGUAAGGUUGUGUGAGUCAACAUGUAUUGUCUCAAUCGCUUAGCAGCCCAUGCAAGUGCACAACAUGUCUUUUC
RNAcentral lists this long non-coding RNA (219 nucleotides) under Lathyrus oleraceus (garden pea). RNAcentral describes it as "Pisum sativum (pea) long non-coding RNA (PSAT_LNC013578)". The record is from RNAcentral. Lineage: Eukaryota; Viridiplantae; Streptophyta; Magnoliopsida; Fabales; Fabaceae.